AAAGCUCUUUCGGCCGGGAAGAAAUCGUGUUCUCUAACAUAGGACAUGGAUGACGGUACCGGACUAAGAAGCACCGGCUAACUACGUGCCAGCAGCCGCGGUAAUACGUAGGGUGCGAGCGUUAAUCGGAAUUACUGGGCGUAAAGCGUGCGCAGGCGGUUUGCUAAGACAGGUGUGAAAUCCCCGGGCUUAACCUGGGAACUGCGCUUGUGACUGGCAGGCUAGAGUACGGCAGAGGGGGGUGGAAUUCCUGGUGUAGCAGUGAAAUGCGUAGAGAUCAGGAGGAACACCGAUGGCGAAGGCAGCCCCUGGGCCUGUACUGACGCUCAUGCACGAAAGCGUGGGGAGCAAACAGGAUUAGAUACCCUGGUAGUCCACGCCCUAAACGAUGUCGACUAGUCGUUCGGAGCAGCAAUGCACUGAGUGACGCAGCUAACGCGUGAAGUCGACCGCCUGGGAGUACGG
This 465-nucleotide ribosomal RNA is filed under the name uncultured bacterium. Its description in RNAcentral is "bacterial SSU rRNA". It matches the Rfam family "Bacterial small subunit ribosomal RNA", at positions 427 to 885 of the family's 1533-position model. The record is from RNAcentral.